This 479-nucleotide ribosomal RNA is filed under the name uncultured bacterium. RNAcentral's name for it is "partial 16S ribosomal RNA". It matches the Rfam family "Bacterial small subunit ribosomal RNA", at positions 28 to 507 of the family's 1533-position model. The record is from RNAcentral.
GAUGAACGCUAGCGGGAGGCCUAACACAUGCAAGCCGAGCGGUAUUGUUUCUUCGGAAAUGAGAGAGCGGCGUACGGGUGCGUAACACGUGUGCAACCUGCCUUUAUCUGGGGGAUAGCCUUUCGAAAGGAAGAUUAAUACUCCAUAAUAUAUUGAACGGCAUCGUUUAAUAUUGAAAGCUCCGGCGGCUAGAGAUGGGCACGCGCAAGAUUAGCUAGUUGGUGAGGUAACGGCUCACCAAGGCGAUGAUCUUUAGGGGGCCUGAGAGGGUGAUCCCCCACACGGGUACUGGGACACGGACCAGACUCCUACGGGACGCAGCAGUGAGGAAUAUUAGUCAAUGGGUGCAAGCCUGAACCAGCCAGCCCGCGUGAAGGACGACUGCCCUAUGGGUUGUAAACUUCUUUUGUAUAGGGAUAAACCUACCCUCGAGAGGGUAGCUGAAGGUACUAGACGAAUAAGCACCGGCUAACUCCGUG